UGGAGCAACAACCGCAGUGGCAGGGCCAGCUCUGGAGCCCUGGAGUCAGUCCCUGCAGUAGCUCCAGAGCUCUCCGUCUGCAGGGCCUGGAGGCUCUGGGCGGGG
RNAcentral lists this microRNA precursor (105 nucleotides) under Canis lupus dingo (dingo). RNAcentral describes it as "mir-8834 microRNA precursor family". It matches the Rfam family "mir-8834 microRNA precursor family". Lineage: Eukaryota; Metazoa; Chordata; Mammalia; Carnivora; Canidae. The record is from Rfam by way of RNAcentral.